Long non-coding RNA from Tympanuchus pallidicinctus (lesser prairie-chicken), 751 nucleotides. RefSeq lists it as uncharacterized. The record is from RefSeq and is a predicted model, not a curated record. Lineage: Eukaryota; Metazoa; Chordata; Aves; Galliformes; Phasianidae. The transcript has 2 exons.
GCCCCGCCGCAGCGGUAUGGCCGGGGAGGAGGCGGCGGAGGAGCGGUGCGUCGCGUGCUGCGGUGUGGGGAUGAGCGUACCCGACGGGGCGACGCCCGCCAGAGAUGUUAUCGGCGAAGAAACGGUGUGGGAAUGGGCUUGGAGACCGACCUGCGCGCUGCCCGCCGUCCGAGGCCGGGCAAGGUGCUGGCCGCCCAUGGGACAGCUAAUAUCGUGCAGUGCUCGGUGGCCACGAAGCACGAGGAGAGGCCGCCGGCUGCCUCUCCCCAGCUCCAGACACACAGCACCGGGAUGGUGGUGGAGGGACGGUUUGAGGAGAGCAGACCGAUUUGCUAGUGCAGCGGGAGCUCUGCUGGCAGGCUGAAGCUGCAGCGUUGUCCUCCUGCUGCGAGUGAGGCUGGAAAUGGAGGAUCCCGUGGGCUCGGUGUGCUGAGACGGGUCCUGAGUUCUGCACACGCGGUGUGCUGUGCACUCACAGGCGGUACGUAAAUUUCUGCCAGGUACCGGUGUCCCUCAAGAACACUUUGCCCUCACUGUUUGCAGUCACUGAAUGAAAACGUGCGGCGGGCUGCGUCCCACAAAACCCUGCCGGACUGUGUGUGCCCACGGAGCUGCAUGUGUGCCUGGCUCAGGGAUGUCUCUGACCUCAAGGAGGCCCAAUUCACCGCCUGUUGUAGCACGGCUGUGGUUGAAUGCCCAGAAACAUCUGACAAGAUCCUGUUUGAUUGAAUAUCUGUUUGAUUUCACAUGG